Molecule: transfer RNA, 65 nt
Filed under: Epixanthus frontalis
Lineage: Eukaryota; Metazoa; Arthropoda; Malacostraca; Decapoda; Oziidae
Description: tRNA-Phe
Source: RNAcentral
AUUUAUAUAAUUUAAGUGAGAAUAUUGCAUUGAAGCUGCAAAAGAGAUUAGACAAAUCUGUAAAU